UACGGUCACAUCUUGUUGAAAUACCAGUUCCCAUACAAUCAUUAAAGUUAAGCAACAUUGAACCUGGUCAGUACAUAGAUGGGUGACCACUUAAAAAGACCAGGUGCUGUAAG
Molecule: non-coding RNA, 113 nt
Organism: Acanthosepion pharaonis
Lineage: Eukaryota; Metazoa; Mollusca; Cephalopoda; Sepiida; Sepiidae
Source: the annotation of a GenBank genome assembly